Molecule: ribosomal RNA, 468 nt
Filed under: uncultured bacterium
Lineage: Bacteria
Description: partial 16S ribosomal RNA
Rfam family: Bacterial small subunit ribosomal RNA
Source: RNAcentral
GACGAACGCUGGCGGCGUGCUUAACACAUGCAAGUCGAACGGAAAGGCCCUGCUUUUGUGGGGUGCUCGAGUGGCGAACGGGUGAGUAACACGUGAGUAACCUGCCCUUGACUUUGGGAUAACUUCAGGAAACUGGGGCUAAUACCGGAUAGGAUCUCCUGCUGCAUGGUGGGGGUUGGAAAGUUUCGGCGGUUGGGGAUGGUAUGGCGGCUUAUCGGCUUGUUGGUGGGGUAGUGGGUUACGAAGGCUUUGACGGGUAGCCGGCCCGAGAGGGUGACCGGGCUCAUUGGGACUGAGAUAGGGACCAGACUCCUACGGGAGGCAGCGGUGGGGAAUAUGACACAAUGAGCGGGAGCCAGAGGCAGCAGCGCCGCGGGCGGGAUGACGGCCUUCGGGUUGUAAACCGAUUUCGCCUGUAACGAAGCGUGCGUGACGGUAACGGGUAAAAAAGCACCGGCUAACUACGUG